UACAGAGGUGGCAAGCGUUGUUCGGAAUUACUGGGCGUAAAGGGCGCGUAGGCGGCCUUCUAAGUCAGACGUGAAAUCCCCAGGCUUAACUUGGGAACUGCGUCUGAUACUGGGAGGCUUGAGUGCGGGAGAGGGAUGUGGAAUUCCAGGUGUAGCGGUGAAAUGCGUAGAUAUCUGGAGGAACACCGGUGGCGAAGGCGGCAUCCUGGACCGGCACUGACGCUGAGGCGCGAAAGCUAGGGGAGCAAACGGG
RNAcentral lists this ribosomal RNA (253 nucleotides) under uncultured bacterium. Its description in RNAcentral is "partial 16S ribosomal RNA". It matches the Rfam family "Bacterial small subunit ribosomal RNA", at positions 524 to 776 of the family's 1533-position model. The record is from RNAcentral.